RNAcentral lists this ribosomal RNA (497 nucleotides) under uncultured bacterium. RNAcentral describes it as "partial 16S ribosomal RNA". It matches the Rfam family "Bacterial small subunit ribosomal RNA", at positions 28 to 507 of the family's 1533-position model. The record is from RNAcentral.
GAUGAACGCUGGCGGCGUGCCUAAUACAUGCCAGUCGAGCGAACGGACGAGAAGCUUGCUUCUCUGCUGUUAGCGGCGGACGGGUGAGUAACACGUGGAUAACCUACCUAUAAGACUGGGAUAACUUCGGGAAACCGGAGCUAAUACCGGCUAAUAUUUUGAACCGCAUGGUUCAAAAGUGCAUGACGGUCUUGCUGUCACUUAUAGAUGGAUUCGCGCUGCAUUAGCUAGUUGGUAAGGUAACGGCUUACCAAGGCAACGAUGCAUAGCCGACCUGAGAGGGUGAUCGGCCACACUGGAACUGAGACACGGUCCAGACUCCUACGGGAGGCAGCAGUAGGGAAUCUUCCGCAAUGGGCGAAAGCCUGACGGAGCAACACCGCGUGAGUGAUGAAGGUCUUCGGGUCGUAAAGCUCUGUUAUUAGGGAAGAACAGAUGUGUAAGUAACUGUGCACAUCUUGACGGUACCUAAUCAGAAAGCCACGGCUAACUACGUG